Molecule: ribosomal RNA, 460 nt
Filed under: uncultured bacterium
Lineage: Bacteria
Description: partial 16S ribosomal RNA
Rfam family: Bacterial small subunit ribosomal RNA
Source: RNAcentral
CCUACGGGAGGCUGCAGUGAGGAAUAUUGGUCAAUGGACGCAAGUCUGAACCAGCCAUGCCGCGUGCAGGAAGACGGCUCUAUGAGUUGUAAACUGCUUUUGUACGAGGGUAAACGCAGAUACGCGUAUCUGUCUGAAAGUAUCGUACGAAUAAGGAUCGGCUAACUCCGUGCCAGCAGCCGUGGUAAUACGGAGGAUUCAAGCGUUAUCCGGAUUUAUUGGGUUUAAAGGGUGCGUAGGCGGUCGGAUAAGUUAGAGGUGAAAUCCCGAGGCUCAACUUCGGAAUUGCCUCUGAUACUGUUCGGCUAGAGAGUAGUUGCGGUAGGCGGAAUGUAUGGUGUAGCGGUGAAAUGCUUAGAGAUCAUACAGAACACCGAUUGCGAAGGCAGCUUACCAAGCUACUUCUGACGUUGAGGCACGAAAGCGUGGGGAGCAUACAGGAUUAGAUACCCGAGUAGUC